This 1005-nucleotide long non-coding RNA is filed under the name Salvia miltiorrhiza (redroot sage). RNAcentral describes it as "long non-coding RNA (SMIL_LNC008701)". The record is from RNAcentral. Lineage: Eukaryota; Viridiplantae; Streptophyta; Magnoliopsida; Lamiales; Lamiaceae.
AGCUACUGAUUUACUUCUUACUCUGUUCGUAAAUCUCUGCUCUUUAUCACUACAGAAUUUCCACUGGUAACUUUAAUUAUUUUAUAAAGCUUUAUUCACAAUUUUCUUCAUUGUUUUCAUAUCUGCCCAAAACCAAAACUUUACAACAGAAUUCUGUUUUCAAAUCAAAACAUGCAUACAUCGAUUUUUUUCUGUAAUUUCCAUAAGGAAAUAGAAUUAGUGUGGAAAGAAAUGGAGAAUUAGUGAGAACUGGAAGGUUGGUUGGGGGAGGAGGCGGAUGGGCGGUGCUAGAUCUGGAAAAGAGGGGCGCCGGCUGGGCUGUGCUGCUGUCGACGCGGAGGCGGCGAUGGCGGUGCUGCUGCUAGCCGGGCGAGCGACAGGGGAGAAGCGUGGUUGUGGCGGUGGUACUGGAAGGCGACGAAGGGUCGCCGGAGAAGGCGCGGUCGCGGCUGCGGCUGAUGCGGCGAGGACAGGGGCAGGGGAGGAGGAAGAGAGAUGAGGGAGGAGGGCGAGAAGUGAGGGGUGAGAGGGAGAUAGGGAGAAGAGGGAGAGGAGGCGGAGCCGCUGGUCUCCGCCGACGGCGCUGCCGUCCGGUGGCGCGGCGGCAGGAGGCCGAGAGGAAGAGGGCCGAGGGAGGAAGGGAGAGAGGGAGUGAGCAGCUGUGGGUGUGUGCGUGAGAGUUGUGUGUGUGUGUUGGGUGUGAUAGUCAAAAUGAGGUUUUAAUUAGGGUGAGUUGAAAUGGGCUUUGGGCCUAGUUUGGUUUUAAUUUAAUGGGCAGUUGGGCCGAAAUUUAUUUAGUGUUGGGCUGUUAAUUCCUUUUAACUAGACUUAUAAUAAAGUUUGAUUAAUUUAUUUAAAUAAUAAUAUUAAUUUAUUAUUAUGUGCAUAUAUUAAGUAUAAUUACUUAUUAUAUGAGUAGAGCAUGAAAUGAGUUGCAUUAAAUAUUUUGCAAAUAAAAGUGUUUAUGAUUUAAUUGGUUAUUUAUUUUUCCAAUUACAAGAGAAA